GUCGCUUAUUGGCAGGAAUUGAGUCACUUGCAAAAGAUCUGACAUCAACAGUUGAUGGUCAAAAUAUAUCCUUUUUAGAUGCUGCAAGAUCUGCUGGAUACGCAAAAGAGCACAAUGACCUAUCCAGUGUGUUUUUGAAGAAAGGAAGUUACUCUGCUUUUGUUGAAUUGCAUAUAGAGCAGGGACCCAUUCUGGAGGAGGAAGGUUUGUCAUUUUUUACUGCUUAUUUUAUCCUUAUGAUCUCAAUUUAUUGAUGGUUAUUAAUCCACUUUAUACUUCAAAUCAGGUACAUCAAUUGGUAUAGUGACUGCGAUUGCAGCUCCUGCAAGUAUAAAAGUAGAUUUUGAAGGCAAUGGAGGGCAUGCGGGUGCUGUCUUGAUGCCGAAUAGGUAACUGCUGUCUGCCUGUAUGCAGUUAAAUUUACAUAUCUUUCAUCAAUUUGGUAUAUUCAUCAUUCUGAUUCUUUUAUUAUGCUUAUUCAGUCAACAAGAUUCACGACGUUUUACAUGUAAUGAGCAGGAACGAUGCCGGUCUGGCUGCUUCAGAACUAGCGCUAGCUGUCGAGAAACAUGUUCUAGAAUCUGGAUCCAUUGAUACCGUUGGUACAGUCGGUAAGUCAUCUUCCUGAAUGCCUAAACUUAGAAUUUUUUGGUACUUAUUGUUUAAAUCCAUCUUGCAUUAGAUUAUAUCUAACUUUGAGUUGGCUAUCUUUCUUUCUUAGAACUAUGAUGUGACUCAAUAUAUCCUGUUUCCUAAGGUAUUCUGGAGCUGCAUCCUGGUGCAAUCAACAGCAUACCAAGCAAGUCACACUUAGAAAUUGGUAUGGUUCCAAUCAGUUGUUGAAGUCUUAUUGGAAAACUGGCCAACAAUUUUAUAACAUAAAUACUUUGCAUGAGAUGAGUAUUAAGUUCCUGAAGUUUGUUUAAAAUCAUGUUAUUGGCAUUCUUCUUCUCCCAAAGUUUGAUUUAAUUCCAGUUGAUUUCUGAAGUUUUUCUUUGUUAUUUAUUGAGUUUUCUAUUAUCUGUGUUUCGGCAGACACACGAGACAUUGAUGAAAAGCGAAGAAAUAGUGUGAUUGAAAAAAUCCGUCAGUCUGCAAUUACAAUUGCUAAAAAUCGUGGGGUCACUCUAUCUGAAUUCAAAAUCGUAAAUCAGGAUCCACCAGCUCUUUCUGAGAAAUCAAUAAUUGAGGCAGUGGAAGCAGCGUCAAAAGAACUUAAUUUAACACAUAAGUUUAUGAUAAGCAGAGCUUACCAUGAUUCACUCUUUAUGGCCAGGUAUAGAUAGAGAGAAAGAGUUAAUAUUUGUACCUUGUCCAGUACCAUGCUAUAUGUCCCAUUAUUUUGGGCCCUCCAAGUGCCAUGUUUCUUAACAUGAAGAUUUUACUCCUUUUUCCCCCCUUUCUUUUCUUUGAAAGAGGAGGAAAAUGAUAAAAUCUAAUGAUGCAAGAUACCAAUAUGGGAAUUCAGGUGAAGAAAAUUUUCCAAGGUGAAAACUGGGAGUGGGUACUUUUUGGCAGCAAUUUACUGCUGAAAAUUCGCCGAAAUCCCCAUGAUUUGAGUGACUGGCACCCAAAUUUUCAAAAGUUUCACAUCCAAUCUGUUUCUUCCAACUCCCAAGCUUUUUCACAAACAAUACACAGCACCAAACUUGCACACAAAUGUGAAAUGUAUCCUUAUUUUUAGAUGCUUUACUAUGAAUUAGCUAUCUUAUUAUUACCGUUCACUUCACCUGCUUAAGGAUGUUUUAGAUGGUGAAUGCAUAUUUAAUCUUAUUGUUCUUCUUGCUAGCAACAUCUAAUUAUAGGUUCACAUCCUUGCAGGGUAUCGCCAAUGGGCAUGAUAUUCAUUCCAUGUUUCAAAGGUAUGAACGCAUUUCUUUUCUUCUGUAUCUAGAAAUCUAAACCCUUCAUCGCUGAUUAUUAAGUUGAAUGUUGAAAUAUUCGGAAUGACUAUAAUUAUCUAGUUGGAUUUCAUCAAUAAAAAUUUUUAGGUACUGCUUUGGUGCUGGUGCUUCUUUUGCUUUUGAAUUAUGUGCACAUGAAACAAAUCUUGUGUGGAAGUACACUAAAAUCACAUGAUGUGAAUUAGAAAAUGUACGCUUGUACAAGUAGUAGGGCACAUACCCAUUCUCGAAUGGUGUCAACUUAGUAGGGGACUUUAUCUAGUCAAAAUGAGGACGUCUAGCAUUUGUAAUCUAUCUAAUCAUCUUCUUAUUUUAUGAGGGAACUAGAGCAUAGAACCAGACUAAUGCUUGUUUUCAUACAUUUGAUUUUGCAGGUUAUAGCCACAAGCCUGAGGAAUAUGCCUCUGGCCAUGACAUGGAAAAUGGGGUAAAGGUAUUAGCAUUGACCCUUGCCAAGUUGUCCCUGCAAUGAUCACUGCUUGUAAUUCUUGUCAACCAACAACCUGCAAUGAUCACUGCUUGCAAUACUAGGUAUACAGGGUUAUACAUUCUCCUUUCUGUUACCCUUUGUGCAGUCAGGAGUUACUUUAUGCUUAUUUUUAGUAAAUGACUUGAUAUAGAGCUCCAACAUUGAUCCAUGACUUACGAGUUACUUAGACAUGAGACUGUAAAUUCAGAUAGUCUUGUAACAGUCUUGUUGACCAUGGGACAGUAGAUUCUGAUAGUCAUGUUGAAUAUCUCAUAUUUCUCUUGAUGAGGAAUCACAGUGAUGACGCCUUUAAUUUAGCUUAGAGCAGAGUUUUCUCAGAUGUUGUGAUAAUUGUGGACGAACAGAUGAUAAAUCUAGCACUCACCAGCACUUACAACAAUCCUCUUCUGUUUUCUGGUAAGAACUAGUAUCAUAAUCACUAACCUAAUAAUUGUCCUCCGAGUCAGAUCAACAGUUGAAACCGACCCAGCCCUGCCCCCAACCCCUCUCUUAUUUUGGUGGUGGUUGUUGAACACAUUUUUUGAAAUUACAACUCUAACGGUGAUGCUUGCAGCAUUAGCUGAUCUCAGGAUGCAGUCUAUUUGCGUAAAUUUUGUGUGUGCUGCAUAUGGGUGUUUGUGAGUGUCUGGCGCGUGAGAGGGAGUGUGAGAAGAGAACUUCAUAAAUCUGUUUAUCUGAUGUAAAAUGAAACAUGAAAGAGCAGGAGCAUAAGUGAUAAGUUUGAUUAUAUGAAAAGAGAAAAAUGGAAAUAUGCCCGGAAAACACCCAACGGCUUUAGAUGUAUUGGUAAUUUUAAAUCUAUGGGAAUACAGGUAAUCAAGGUUGUACAUCAGUUUGCGUAGGCCUUAAUUAUUUUGAGUAGCUAUUACUAGAGUUAUUAUUGUAUAGAAUGCCACGUGGCCUAUAUUUUUUUAAUUCUCAUUAAUUAUAUUAUUUUUCUUAAAAUUUUGCCCAAAAAUUAGCUUUCUUAAUAAUAUAAAGAAUCGCCAACAUUUGAAUCACAACUCAUCAUCCUAGAAACUUGUAAUCAAUAUCUAAUGGAUGAAUGUUAUAUCAGUUGGAAUUCAAAUUGAGAAUUAAAUGUUUGGACACCUAGUAUUGUUCUAAUUUUAUUUUAUCUUGAAGGUAAUUUGUAGUAUCAACUAUUUGAAAAUUCUUACAAGUGAAUGAAAAUAAAACUUUCAAUUAAAUUAAAAGCAGUGGUAGAUAUUUUAAGAUUUUAUCCUAAAUUUUGUAAAUAAUGUGUCAUUCAUUAGAGUAGAAUACGUGAAAUAAUGAUAUAAUUUAAAAGAAAAAAAGACCGUAAAAUAAUAUAACUAAUUCAGUUGAAAUUUAUGAAAAAAUAAUUGAUUAAUGAAUGACGUAUCAUUUAAGAUAAAAAUAUAUGAUUGUAAAAUUACGAGGUGCAGCUAUAAUCAUCGGCACUCUUUUCUCCUUAUUAGUUACAUUUUUUUUUUCUUGGAUAACAACUUUUUAAACCGUAUAUUCAAUUUAUAUUUUCUUACUACGUAUGUAGGAAAACUUGUUAAAUAUAACAGAAACAGUGUGCUUAUCUAGGAACAACUUAUUACGAAAUGCCAAGGCAGGAGACUAUAUGUAAUUCUUUCCAACGAAAGUUUUGUGUGUUUCCUAAUAAUUGAGUAAUAAUUAGGGUAAGUGAAGACUCUACCUAAUACCAAUACGAUACGGUAAAUCCUCUGUAAGCUAAUAAUGUCGUUAUCAUAUAAAAUUUAUUAAUUUAAAGAAGAAUUAAUUAAUUGUCGACUUAUUGAGUGUUUAUACAAUUCAAUGAAACAUAUAUGCAAGGGAUUUCAAAACAACUAUCAUCAUAUUAAUUUAACCAAUUAGCCCAAGUUGGGACUAUAAAUAAUUGCUAUGUAAUAGAGAUUAUUGAUUUUUAGAGAUUAUAUUUUACCGAGUGGUUUUUUGGAGCAUGUAAAAGAGGUACAGUUUUCUUAUCACUAGAAUAUUGCGGCACUUCAAUGUUCCAUUCUCACCAAGCCUAUUUAUACUGAAGUCAGGAAACUAGAUUGGGAAAUUAUAUCUGGCAUUGGAUUUCAUAGAAGUCGUGGGGAAUGGGUUAAGACUCCGUCAUCUAAGAAUGAGGACACUUUGGUAGCUCCGAAGGAUAACCGAUUGCUUAACGAUAUUUAUUCUGAGGAUGAGUUACCCAAUUUUCGACAUGGCACUAGACCUCGUGCACCUCGCCGAGCUGCAGCAGCACAAUCUCCGGCUGAGGAGCCAGCAGAGUCAAUUGAGCACCCUAAGGCACCUUUAGUUUUUUAGGACCACAUGCAGUAGCUAUUCGACAAAGUGGAUACCCUCUCUCAGCAACAACAGCAGCUUCAAUCCCAAAUUUAGACAUUUUAGCAGCAGAUUCUAGACCAGCAACAUGAGCUUCUCAAGGUAUGGCUUGUCAAUUAGUUAAGAGUAAAUUUGAUUUACCUACUCGCUAAAGAAAAAGCUUAAAUGUUUAGGGAAUCUAAAUGAAAUGUAAUAGGGAAGAAAAAAAAAUAAAGAUGUUAAUGGUCCAUUUACCGAUCGAUAAUCGGAAUAGAUUAGAAUUAAAAUAGAUUUAAAUUGAAAUGGAUUAAAAUUAGAAUGGGACAUAAAGUGUUAUAUUUUAUAAACUUUUGAUAUUUGACUUUCUUCCAAUAAAGAACUCAAAUAAAAAAAUAAUCACUUUGGUAAACAUGGUGCACCCAUAUUAAUUAUUUACUAAAUGAAUAUUAUUAAUUAACAAUUAAUAUCCUCUUUGGUAAUCUUACAAAUAGUUUUGUGAUGCUCAAGUAGUUCAAUUAAAGUCUCAUGAACUUCAUGUAGGGAGGAAUAAAGGAAGUAUUAUAUAAAGUGGAGGCAAAGAAUCUCUAUAUAUAUUAUUUAAUUGUUGGAUGGUUAAGGUAUGACUUGUCAAUUAGUUAAAAGUAAAUUUGAUUAUCUACUCGCUAGAGAAAAAGAUUAAAUGUUUAGGGAAUCUAAAUGAAAUGUAAUAGGGAAGAAUAAAAAAUGAAGAUGUUAAUGGUCCAUUUACCGAUUGAUAAUCGGAAUGAGUACGAAUUAAAAUAUAUUUGAACUGGAAUAGGUUGAAAUUAGAAUGGGGCAUAAAGUGUUAUACUUUAUAAACUUUUAAUAUUUGACUUUCUUCCUGUAGAGAAUUCAAAUAUAAAAAUAAUCCCUUUGGUAAAAAUGGUGCACCCAUAUUAAUGUUUACCUAAUGAAUAUUAUUAAUUAGCAAUUACUGCCCUCUUUAGUAAUCUUACGAAUAGUUUUGUGAUGCUCAAGUAGUUCGAUUAAAGGUUCACGAGCUUCAUGUAGGGAGGAAUAAAGGAAGUAUUAUAUAAAAUAGAGGCAAAGAAUCUCUAUAUAUAUUAUUUAAUGGUUGGAUGGUCAAGGUAUGGCUUGUCAAUUGGUUAAGGGUAAAUUUGAUUCUAUACUAGCUAAAGAAAAAGCUUAAAUGUUUAGGGAAUCUGAAUGAAAUGUAAUAGAGAAGAAUAAAAAAUGAAAAUGUUAGUAGUCCAUUUACCGAUCGAUAAUCGGAAUGGGUUGGAAUUAAAAUAGAUUUGAAUCGAAAUGGGUUGAAAUUAGAAUGGGGCAUAAGUUGUUAUAUUUUACAAACUUUUGAUAUUUGACUUUCUUCCUAUAAAGAACUCAAAUAAAAAAAUAAUCCCUUUGGUAAAAAUGGUGCACCCAUAUUAUUAUUAAUUAAAUGAAUAUUAUUAAUUAACAAUUAACGUCCUCUUUAGUAAUCAUACGAAUAGUUUUGUGAUGCUCUAGUAGGUCAAUUAAAGGUUCACGAACUUCAUAUGGGGAGGAAUAAAGGAAUUAUUAUAUAAAAUAGAGGUAAAGAAUCUCUAUAUAUAUUAUUUAAUGGUUGGAUGGUCAAGGUAUGGUUUGUCAAUUGGUUAAGAGUAAAUUUGAUUCUCUACUCCCUAAAGAAAAAGCUUAAAUGUUUAGGGAAUCGGAAUGAAAUGUAAUAGGGAAGAAUAAAAAACGAAGGUUUUAAUGGUCCAUUUAUCGAUCGAUAAUCGAAAUGUAUUGGAAUUGAACUAGAUUUUAAUUGGAAUGGAUUGAAUAAGAUUGAGACAUAAGAAUCAGAAUAGAUUAUUUGCUCUAGUUAUACGAAUUGACAUUAGAAUGAGCUGUAUGACCAUUUAUGUUUUUGUUUUAUCUUGAAAUCAGAAUGAAUUGUUAUAAGUUACUAGAAUUAUUUUAAAUGAUUAUUGUUAUUGUUUACUAUAAUAAUAAUAAUAAUAAUAAUAAUAAUAAUAAUAAUAAUAAUAAUAAUAAUAAUAAUAUUGUUAUUGUUGUUGUUGUUGUUGUUAAUAAAUGGGAUCAAAUGAAUUUUUUAAGAUAUCUUAAUAUUUUAUCUUAAAUUUUGUAAAUAAUGUGUCAUUCAUCAUAAUAGAGCACGUGAAAUAAUGAUAUAAUUUAAAAGAAAAAAGUGACCGUAAAAUAAUAUAACUAAUUCAGUUGAAAUUUAUGAAAAAAAUAAUUGAUUAAUAAAUGACAUAUCAUUUAAGAUAAAAUUUAAGAUAAAAAUAUAUGCUUAUAAAAUUACAAGGUAUAAUCAUCAGCACUCUUUUCUCGUUAUUAGUUACAUUUUUUUUCUUUGAUAACAACUUUUUUAACCGUAUAUUCAAUUUAUAUUUUCUUACUACGUAUGUAGGAAAACUUGUUAAAUAUAACAGUAACAGUGUGCUUAUCUAGGAACAACUUAUUACGAAAUGCCAAGGCAGGAGACUAUAUGUAAUUCUUUCCAACAAAAGUUUUGUGUGUUUCCUAAUAAUUAAGUAAUAAUUAGGGUAAGUGAAGACUCUACCUAAUGCCAAUACGGUACGGUAAAUCCUCUGUAAGUUAAUAAUGUCGUUAUCAUAUAAAAUUUAUUAAUUUAAAGAAGAAUUAAUUAAUUAUCGACUUAUUGAGAUUUGAGUGUUUAUACAAUUCACUGAAACAUAUAUGCAAGGGAUUUCAAAACAACUAUUAUCAUAUUAAUUUAACCUAUUAGCCCAAGUUGGGACUAUAAAUAAUUGUUAUGUAAUAGAGAUUAUUAAUUUAUCAAAUAUUAAUUUUUAGAGAUUAUAUGUUACCGAGGGGUUUUUUGGAGCAUGUAAAAGAGGUACAGUUUUCUUAAGCUCUUAAAUGGAACAGGCCUAUGCUAGUUGAAUGAUUUUCAAACAUAUUUAGCCGAUCAUCCAAAUCCAGAUCUUUUAAGAAAUAAAGAAAUUAAAAAAAUUGUGGAAGAUAUUAAAUCUAGCAGAUCCUCAACAAUCUGCUUUAGGCACAAGCAAUAUGUGUGUACAUUAGGACAAUUUCAACUAUCAACUAAUGAAGCUUGGUCGUAUGAAUUUAAUGGUAAGGGGUUAAUGAAACAAAACUAAUGAAGUAAAUUGGACUCUGGACAUGCUCUCUAAGCCAUGUAUGGAACAGUAUAUUUUGCUCAAAUUGUACUCUUUCAACGAAAAUGCCUAUGCAUUUUUUAGUAAAUAUGGUCUACCCCUUUUCAUUUAGAUAAUGGACAGUCCGACGAGUCCUUAAUUAAUUCUUUAAUCAGCAAAACUUUAGAAAGAAAAAGAUGAAACAAUGGCGACAAAAAUAAGAAUAAAAAUGGUACAAUGUUACAAUGUUAAUAAAAAAAUAAUACUAAUUUUAUAAUUUUUUUAUCAUUAAUAUGUCAGAACAGCUGAUCAGUAUAAUCAACACAUAUUUAGAAAAUUACUAUUUAAUUUACUCGAUGAUGAUGAAGUUUCUUGUAGGAUUGGACCCGUAUCACCGUAUGUGCAUGUAACCCAUCUUCAUGUAUAAAUUGGUAGCACUUAGCAGCCUGUAGCCGUCUCUGAUCUCCAUUUCGGAAGGGGAGAAAAAAAUAGGGAUGGCAACAUUCUCCACGGAUCCCUGAGCCAGCGGACUCCCGAUGAAUUUGGGUCGGCUGUGGGUCCUAAAAUGUCUAAAAAAUGAAAUUAGGGCUAUUUCGGGAAUAGGCUUAAGAGCUAAUAAAAUUUUAGGUUCGGGUUUGGGGAUUUUUAUUUUUAAUUAAAUAAAAAUUUUGAAAUAGAAUACAAAAAAUUCUAAAAUAUAAUUAAUUUGUUUUGUUAAAUUAGUUCCAAAUUUUGGUUAAGCUUUUUCAUAUUGAGGUUCAUAUGUUUCAAAUUAUUAGUCCACUAGUUUUGUGUUAGGUAUUUCUACUAAGUUCGUUCAAUACCAAUAUUUUGGGUUAGAUUCCAAGUAAUUUUCAUUUCCCAUUGGAUGAGUUCCUAAUUUUUGUUGGAUUUUCUCGUUUAUUGGUUCAAAUGUUUCAUCUAAUUAUUCCUCUAGUUUUGUGUUGAAUAUUCCCAUUAACUUGGACAGAUUCCAAUUAUUUGGGUUAAGUAUCGAAUUUGUUUUUCGUAAUUUUAUUUUCUCCCUUGUGGGGUCAUGUGUUUCAAUUAUAAUUUCACUAGUUUUGUGUUCAAUAUUCCAAUUAACUUGGUAGGAUUUCAUUUAUUUAGGUUAAAUACCGAAAUAAUUUUUUUUGUUAAAUUAGUUCCCAAUUUUGGUUAAACUUUUUCAUAUUUAGGUUCACAUGUUUCAAAUUAUUAGUCCACUAGUUUUUCGUUAGGUAUUCCUACUAAGUUCGUUCAAUACCAAUAUUUUGGGUUAGAUUCCAAGUAAUUUUCAUUUUCCGUUGGAUGAAUUCCUAAUUUUCGUUAGAUUUUCUCUCUUAUUGGUUCAAUCUUUCAUCUAAUUAUUCCUGUAGUUUUGCGUUGAAUAUUCCCAUUAACUUGGAUAGAUUUCAAUUAUUUGGGUUAAGUACCGAAUUUGUUUUUCGUAAUUUUAUUUUCUCCUUUGUGGGGUUAUGUGUUUCAAUUAUAAUUUUACUAGUUUUGUGUUCAAUAUUCCAAUUAACUUGGUAGGAUUUCAUUUAUUUGGGUUAAAUACCGAAAUAAUUUUUUUUGUUAAAUUAGUUCCCAAUUUUGGUUAAACUUUUUCAUAUUUAGGUUCACAUGUUUCAAAUUAUUAGUCCACUAGUUUUGUGUUAGGUAUUCCUACUAAGUUCGUUCAAUAUCAAUAUUUUGGGUUUGAUUCUAAGUAAUUUUCAUUUUCCGUUGGAUGAGUUCAUAAUUUUCGUUAGAUUUUCUCUCUUAUUGGUUCAAAUAUUUCAUCUAAUUAUUCAUGUAGUUUUGCGUUGAAUAUUCCCAUUAACUUGAAAGAUUUCAAUUAUUUGGGUUAAGUACCAAAUUUAUUUUUUGUAAUUUUAUUUUUGGUUAAAUAAGUCCCUAAUUUUGGUUAUAUUUUCUCCCUUGUGGGGUUAUAUGUUUCAAUUAUAAUUUCACUAGUUUUGUGUUCAAUAUUCUAAUUAACUUGGUAAGAUUUUAUUUAUUUGGGUUAAAUACCGAAAUAAUUUUUUUUUGUUAAAUUAGUUCCUAAUUUUGGUUAAACUUUUUCAUAUUUAGAUUCACAUAUUUUAAAUUAUUAGUCUACUAGUUUUGUGUUAGGUAUUCCUACUAAGUUCGUUUAAUGCCAAUAUUUUGGGUUUGAUUCCAAGUAAUUUCAUUUCCCGUUAGAUGAGUUCUUAAUUUUCGUUAGAUUUUCUCGCUUAUUGGCUCAAAUGUUUCAUCUAAUGAUUCCUCUAAUUUUGUGUUGAAUAUUCCCGUUAACUUGGACAAAUUCUAAUUAUUUGGGUUAUGUACCGAAUUUAUUUUUCGUAACUUUAUUUUUGGUUAAGUAGGUUCCUAAUUUGAGUUAUAUUUUCUCACAUUUACUUUUAUAUGUUUCAACUAUUAUUUUCACUAGUUUUGCGUUCAAUAUUCCAAUUAAUUUGGUGAAAUUUCAGUUAUUUAUGUUAAAUAUCAAAAUUACUUGUAUUACCAGAACCAAUAAUUUUAAUAAGUUGAAUUAUGUUUGAACCCUUACUAUUUUAUGAAAUAUCAACGUACGAUAUAAUAUUGAAAAAAUUUUAUUGUAACACUUAAUCUUUUCCAAUGUUUUGGGUCCAUAGCCUAAUUCCCUUUUAUAUAUAUCAUGAGAUCUCUUGAACUUGAUUGUAUAUAUACUUGAGCUUUUAAUCUCUAUACGUAUUUAUUCUCAUUUUAUUAUUUUAGUUGAUUAUUUUUAGUUAUUGUUAAAAUAAAUUAAUUCAUUUAUUUUCAUCUCUCUCUUUACUUUUUAAAAUAAUUUCUUUAAUUUUUCAAAACUUCGACAGUAAAUAAAAAAAUAACAUGUAAGAGUGCAUGCAAUUGCUAUGCUUCUCCAAAAAAUUAUUUUUAAAAAUUAUGAUGGCAUAAGUUAUAAAAAAAUAUUUAAGCUAACAAAAAUUGAAACUUUCUUAAUCUAUUUGUGUUAUAUUUUCUUCUUUUUUUUUUUGGGAUCAAUUGACUUCAGGAGAUUUCUUGAACUUGAAUUUAUUUAUACUUAACUUUUGAUCUUUAUAAAUGUUAUGCCCAUUUUAUAAUUCAAUUAAUUUUAUUUAUUUAUCUUUAAACUAAAAUAAAUCAAGGAUUAAGAUUUUUUGAAUUCAAAUUAAAUUUUUACCACUAUGUUUUCUUUUCAAAUUAGUUUUCUUAAUUUCUUAUUACUUUAACCAAAAUUUUAUCACUUGUAUUAUAAAUAUUAUACUUGUAUUAAUAUAUUAAUAUAUUAUACUUGUAUUAUUAAUUAUAAUCCCUAUAUUAUAAAUAUUAUAAAUAUUUAUAAUAUUUAUUAUAAAUAUUAAUUAUUAUUUUUAUUAAUUAUAAAUAUUAAUAUAUUAUACUUGUAUUAUUAUCACUAUUAUUAUUAUUUUUUACUCUUACUAAAAUUAUUAUUAUUACUAUCUUGCCCCAUGAGAUUUGUUAACAAUUUUUUUUUAAUAAUGAGUAUCCUUCUUUUUUGUUUUUAAGUAUGGAUAUAAUUUUUAAUUUAUAAAAUAAGUUCUUAAAUUUUCAAGACUUAACUAAAAUAAUUUUUAAGAGUUUAUUAUGGCUAAUAUGGUUAUGAAAAUUUAUUACUAUAGUAGCAACACUUUAUACCAUACCAUUUCAUAUUUAUUACAACACCAAAAUUAUUUUAUUUAUUUUAUAAUUAUCCUAUGAACUGUGAAAAUUAACUUUUAUAUUAAAAUGAAAAAUUUGUAAAUUAGUAUUACAUUGAUCCAAUUCUACUAAGCCACAAUUUAUUUAUCUUUAAUGAAUGCUUUAAACACAGUAAACGCAAUUCAAAUUCAACAAUAUUUUGUAAAAUAAAAACAUAAAAAAAUCAAUGCAAUCAAGAAAAAAGAAAAUAUAUUAAACAUUAUUUUUUCUUCCUAAAUUAAAUAUUGAAAGGAUAUUUUUCUCUAAUAGGUAAAUUCAACACCGUAAUUUAACAAUAAUGUCGACUUUUAUUUUUAAAACUAUUUUUUUAUUACUCCGAAUUGCAAUACAUUUUUAUAGGUCCCAAAAUUAAAUAACCAAUAAUGAAAGUAUCUUUAUUUAUUUCAAUAUCAUUAUUCUUUACUUCAUGAGAUAUGAUCAUACAUUUGAUUUAUCCCUUUAAUACAAACAAAAAUAAGUUUAAUCAUUUUUCACGAACUUAACAAAAAAUUAUCUUUAGUAAGCUAAAAUUAUUUUUUAAAAGCUCAAUAUUAUUUGGAUGGGAUAUUCCCAACUAAUAUGGUGGUUACAACAUACNNNNNNNNNNNNNNNNNNNNNNNNNNNNNNNNNNNNNNNNNNNNNNNNNNNNNNNNNNNNNNNNNNNNNNNNNNNNNNNNNNNNNNNNNNNNNNNNNNNNNNNNNNNNNNNNNNNNNNNNNNNNNNNNNNNNNNNNNNNNNNNNNNNNNNNNNNNNNNNNNNNNNNNNNNNNNNNNNNNNNNNNNNNNNNNNNNNNNNNNNNNNNNNNNNNNNNNNNNNNNNNNNNNNNNNNNNNNNNNNNNNNNNNNNNNNNNNNNNNNNNNNNNNNNNNNNNNNNNNNNNNNNNNNNNNNNNNNNNNNNNNNNNNNNNNNNNNNNNNNNNNNNNNNNNNNNNNNNNNNNNNNNNNNNNNNNNNNNNNNNNNNNNNNNNNNNNNNNNNNNNNNNNNNNNNNNNNNNNNNNNNNNNNNNNNNNNNNNNNNNNNNNNNNNNNNNNNNNNNNNNNNNNNNNNNNNNNNNNNNNNNNNNNNNNNNNNNNNNNNNNNNNNNNNNNNNNNNNNNNNNNNNNNNNNNNNNNNNNNNNNNNNNNNNNNNNNNNNNNNNNNNNNNNNNNNNNNNNNNNNNNNNNNNNNNNNNNNNNNNNNNNNNNNNNNNNNNNNNNNNNNNNNNNNNNNNNNNNNNNNNNNNNNNNNNNNNNNNNNNNNNNNNNNNNNNNNNNNNNNNNNNNNNNNNNNNNNNNNNNNNNNNNNNNNNNNNNNNNNNNNNNNNNNNNNNNNNNNNNNNNNNNNNNNNNNNNNNNNNNNNNNNNNNNNNNNNNNNNNNNNNNNNNNNNNNNNNNNNNNNNNNNNNNNNNNNNNNNNNNNNNNNNNNNNNNNNNNNNNNNNNNNNNNNNNNNNNNNNNNNNNNNNNNNNNNNNNNNNNNNNNNNNNNNNNNNNNNNNNNNNNNNNNNNNNNNNNNNNNNNNNNNNNNNNNNNNNNNNNNNNNNNNNNNNNNNNNNNNNNNNNNNNNNNNNNNNNNNNNNNNNNNNNNNNNNGUUCUUCAACCAUAAUAUGACUUCCUGGCAACUCAAUAAUAUUACAUAUUAAAACUAUAACCUAUAUUAUGGAUUCAAAAAAUUACAUAACUAAAAAAAGAAUUAGAUAGAAAGAACAAACUUGCUAUUGUCAUCUCAUUAUAACACUCAAAUAAACACUUUUGGAAGAGCUUGCUCUAUCAAGAACACAUGCAUACAAUCACAAUUUGAUUCACCUCCAAAAGCCAAUCAAUCAAUCAAAAAUGGAAGCUGCAAUUAGAAAGAAAGAUGGAAUGCAAAUAACUAAAUAUUUUAAAAAUGGAAACUUUUAAGAGAAAAACUAUAGAAUGUUACCUUAACAAUUCAAGAGACCAGUCUAAGCACAAGACAAGACAAACAAAACAAUAAAGGAUGUCAGUUUUAAUGAUCAAUAGAAUUGCAAGACUAAAAUAUUAGAAAUAAAGACAAUAAGUAGCUCAAUUCAAAGAAAUCAAGGUAAUAUACAAAAUUAAAAGGUAAUACAAAUAUUCUUCCCUCAAUAAAAUCUUGGGUCCCAACAUCAACUAGGGUAGACACAAUGGCCUUUGCAAAAUUCAUAAAAAGGGUAUAAACAAUGAUGAAAUAUUCAGGUUACAAAAACACCAAAUUCAAAAUAUUCAACUAUAAAUUACAACAAUAAAGAAAACAGCUUCAAACCCGAAGACUCUUUUACUGGCUCGAUUUUGGAUACAUCUUAGAUGCCUUCACCUACUUUUGACCUUCACCUACUUUUGAAGGUAGUGGUGUUCUAUUUUGAGCCCAUAGCCUCCGACGUUCCAUUUCCUCACAAAGGAUUCUGUCAAAAAAUACAUAACAAGAUUCAGUAAAUAAAUCUUUUGGAACAAAAACAUAUAUUUAACAAUUAUCUUUAAAAAAAGGAUUUAAAACCACAAUACUAAAUUGACACAGCUUUGCAUUGGAGAAAAAAGAAGCGAGAUUCAGAAUUAUAAACUAACAAGUUUUCAAAAGUUCAUUCUCAAUCCAAAUGUUAAGAUGCAAAAAAUUCAGGCAAAUUCCAUUCCACCAUCAGCUAUGAAUACUUGGCUCCACAAAAAAGAAUUAAAUAGAUUAUACAGAAUAUCGCUCACUUGGCUCUAUACCAAAGCCUGGAAAAAAAAGUUCAUGGCUCGAAUUUACAUCGGCCCGCAUAUGUUGUAUUAUAUUAUUUGGUGCUAUAUAUAUAUAAACACAGUUCAUCUACUGACCUAAACUUUUACCCUUUGCAUAAUGUUGGCUACACAAUACAUGACCUUUGCACAAUUAAAAUUUUUUAAAAAUAAAAUAAAUUAUCGAACUCUGCUGCAUUCACAUUCUAAAAAACUGAUAACUUAUUUUGCAUUUACAUAUGUAGCAGAAAACAAAUAAAUAAAGGUUUUCCUACCUAGCUUUGUUUUCUUUCUGGACUUUUCGUAUCUCCUCAUCUUGUUGCAAUCCCUGCCCAUAUUUUAUGUGAUUACGUGCUGAAUUAAAAUAAAAAAAAAGCAGCUGUACCAGAUGUUUGCAAAGCAAACGCAAAUAUUUAUACUUAAUGAUGGCUGUGGGACACAGUGAAUGUAUGGGCAUUGUGGAAAGUUUGAUUAAUCCCAAAGCGAUUAUAAUUGUGAAAUUUCCGUCACUUUUUGAAUAAUUUAAGUUCUAACAUACUGCUAUCCACGAUGGAAAUUGUUUAAUAUGAAUGGGUGGCCCAGUGGUAAGGGUGAAUGUAGGGUAAGAUGUAAACUCAUGUCUGGGUUUGACUCACACAUGAUGCAAAACUGUUGAACGCCAAUAUUAUAUCUUGCUGGAGGUUGCAUAUACUUGAGGGUUUAUGUCUGUUAACCGAAAAGAAAAGGAAUCCCUUUGUUCUCAUACGGUUGACCCUUUAUUAUCAUAAGGUUGACUUGAUUUUAAGUUGUUCUAUUCUGAUUAAGAGUUUCUGCUUUUGCAGCAUGAGUUGGCGACUAGAACCGUUGACAGUCAUGUGUGGGAUGAAAUUCGUAACUUCAAGAAAUGCCUUAUCAUGAUGUUUGCAAAGCAAGAGAAGGAAUUAGUGUUUCUCGAAACAGUGAUGGGUUUGGGACAACAGCGUCGCCAUUGUUUGAUUGAGUGCAUUCCUUUGCCCCAAAAAAUUGCGAAACAGGCCCCUGUCUAUUUCAAGAAGGUUAGAUUCCGUCAUUCAUUCUCUCUCUAUUGUUCUUCUGGUUCUCCUUGUCUAUAUUAUGCUUCACUUUAUUGUUAACUGUGGUUAAUUUGACUGGCCUAAGUAAAGAUGUUUUUGCUGCCCUUAACUUUGUGUAGGAUUCCCAUUUAUUGCCAAAUUAGUUGCACAUUUGUGUAAAACAAAAUUGGACGUUGGCAUGGCAUUUACAUAGCUUGCAUAAUAAAGUAAUGUCCCAUAAAGUUCAUGUUUUUGGACUGAUCUUCCCAUCCACAUGAACACCCUUUUUUGUUUGCAUGUACAUGUAUGUGCAAUUCUUUCUGUCUCAAUACAUACAGUACAAGUAUCUGAAAUGAGCUGUUUCAGGCAAUUGAUGAAGCUGAAGAUGAAUGGAGCCAGCACAAUGCAAAGAAGUUAAUUGAUACAAGUGUGAAGGGCUUGCGUGGUUCAAUUCCAAAGGACUUUCCUUACUUCCACGUUGAGUUUGGUCUAAAUAAGGGUUUCGUCCAUGUAAUUGAUGACGAAACACAGUUUGAAAGCAGCUUCGAACUAAACGUCAUAAGAGGCAUGCUUUGCCUUCCUGAGGAAGACAUGUACCGUCGUAGGAGGCAUGAAUCUGUGGAGACACAAAAGCAAGCGGUUGCAACUUUUGCGCGGGACUGGGAACCGUUUGACUGGACAAAACAACUUGAAUAGAAAACUGUGCAGUGGGUCUAAAGCAAUUCAGGACUUCAGUUUUAACUUAAAUUGAUGAACUUGGCCAAUGGUCUUUUAUAGCCCGUUGGUAACACACAUGCAUAGGCUGGAGUUUCAGCAAUAUGUUAUAUUUGUAGUGUUGUACAUAGGGCGUGUUUGGUGCAUGAGAUUGUGUGGUAUUAUAUCACUAUUCACAUUAGUUUAUUACCAAGAAGAUGUUUGGCAGAAUUUAAUACCUCAUUAUACUGCAUUAUAAUGCAGUAUAAUGAGGCGUGGGGCCGCAUUACGCAAACCCGAGGGAACCUCGGGUUUGUGUAAUGCGGAAGCUUUUUGCCUCAAUUGAGGCAACAGUUAAUGCCUCAAUUGAGGCAAAUUUAUUUUAUUAAAAUAUUAUAAAAAUAAAUUAUUUUAUUACUAAAUACUAAUAUAAUGAAUAAAAUAUAAAAAUAAAUUAUAUGAUAAUAUUAUUUUAUUUAUUAAUGAUUAAUUAUUAAUGUAAAUAAUAUUAUAAUAUUAAUAUAUUAUUUACAUUAAUAUUAAUUUUAAAAUUAAUAUUAUUUAAAUUUAUACAAAUUUAAAUAUUUAUAAUUAUUUAUAUUAAAUUAUAAAUUUAUUAAUAUAUUAAAAUGUAAAAAUAAUAAUAUAUUGUAAAUUAAAAUAUAAUUUAAUAUUAUUGAAUAAUAAUUUAUUAAUUUAUAUUAACAAUUAUAAUAUUAAUUAUAAUCUAAAUUUAUUAUUUACAUAUAAUAUUAAAUUUUAUAAAUUUGUUUUAUCAUAAUUAUAAUACAAAUUUUAGAAAUUUAAUCAUUAAUUUUUAAUAUUUACUAAAAAAUUGUUAAAUUUCUACAAUUAAGAUUUCUAUAUUUAUUAUUUUUCUAAGUAUUAAUAAAUAUAAUUUUUAAUUAUUUAAUUUAAUUAAUCAUAAAAAUUAAUACAAUACAAUGUAACGCCAAAUAUAGUUUAAUUAAAAAUUAAUACAGUACAGUGUAGCAGCAAACAUUGUACAGUAUUGUUAUAAUAUAAUGCUAAUGCAAUACAGCAUAAUACAAUACACCAGCAUUAAAAUAAUGCAAUACAGCAUAAUACAAUACAGUGUGCCAAACGCACCCAUAGUUUUUUAUUUCUAGUGAUAUGUCAUCAAAUUUUUGUCCUGGGUAUGGUAAAUUUUAUUUUCUCAUCGUUAAUAUUGAUAAUUUUAUAUCUCUACACACUUGUUAGAUGCAACUUCACUUGGGGUACAUAAUUGUGUGCUUCAACUAUCUAAAUUCAGAAUUACUUAGUCCCUUAUUACGGUUACUCAAAAAGGGCUUGUCGCUGACUAGUUUACAAUUAAUUCUAAUUCCCUUUGUAAAUUAAAAUAUUAGGUUUUUCAAUCAAUAUUAGGUUUUCUCAUUGCAAUUAGGAUUUAAAAUUAUAAUUUGAUCGAAGAUUAAGACUGUGUUGAGUUAAGCUACAAGCACCAAUACAAUUAAUUCUGAUUCCCUUUGUAAAAUAAAAUAUUUUCACCCUUUAUUAAUUAAAUCUUUACUCCCCGUCAAUUCUUCUCCAAAUCACAUAACGCAUGUUUGUAGCACUAAUCGACUUAAUUAUUAAUUAAAUUUUUUAUUUGCAUAUCUGCUGGUCCAUUUGUUACCGAAAGGGAACCACUACCAAUGUCAUCUCUUUGAUGCGACAAUUCCCAUCGUUCAAUUCUUCGCCAGACUCUGAAGCAUUGCACUUUUGGCGACAUCUGAUCUGAAUGUGGGCUUGCUUCUGCUUGUUUCUGAAAAACAACCUGUUAUCUAUUCAAAUCCUGAUAAUAUGAAUCUAAAUUUGGACUCGUUAUCGACUCCCACAUAUUCUUGCAAUUGUAUGUGAUUGCAUUAAAAAUGGUAUGAAAUGACAUUUUGUUUUUCCCUCUUUCCAUUGGGUAUAAAAUUAAGUAAUCGUGAAUAUCCUUCCAUUUUCUCAAAUUUUCCUUAAAUUUUUUUUUUGCCUUAAGAAAGCUUACCAAAUGAAAAGAUGAGUAAAGGGAUUUGACUGAGGAAUUUUUGUCAAAUGUGGAGGAUGGAAGCCAAACAGACGUGUUUCAUUAGGCAAUAAGCAGGCGCUGCAAUUCAGCUUAUUUAUUUAUUACAAAAUUAUAUAAGAAUACACGAAAAGAGCCCUUUUAAGUUUUACCUUGCUCGUAUGUUUUUAUUACUUGCGCUAAUAAGCCACCGAAAAAUCAAACGUCGGUGACCGGUGGCGGAGGAGGGGCGCAAAUCCUUCCCUUACCGGGAAUCAUACUGCAAGGAUUACCGCCAAUAGGUGGCACGGGAGCCCUCUGGAGGGUCGCAUGGCUAAUAAGGUUACGAAUAUGCGGCUUCGCAUGCAAUGGCCUCAAGGCUGAACCUAGUUGCAUUGUGCUGCUUGAAGCGAACAAAAUGAUGAACAUGAACAAAAUUGUGAAGAAGCGAAUGUUUGUUCUAUGGAACUCCAUUUUUUUUUUUUGGGUGAGUUUGAUGGAGAUUUCUUGUGUGCAUAUAUAAAGGCUUCAGGGCUUUGUCUCUCCAUCUUUUAAAACCAAGACUAUUCUUGCAAAUAUAGAAAAUAAAACCUGUAACAUUUAACAAAAAGAUUCUAGAUUUUCUUGAUUGGCUUAUAAACUUUGGAAUAUGAUAUACUCGACUGUUCGACAACUCAUUUAACAAAUCGAUAUACUAUUUUUAUUGCUGGAAGGAUGAAGUCAUAAAAGAUGCCUAUUUGUUGUUGAUUAUCUUUUCCACAAUUAUUAUCCUCAAAUGAAUAAAAGAAUGACUCUCUGUCUUUAAAAAGGAUCAUGACUAUUAUAACAUGAAAAUGUAUGAAUAAAAAGUAAUGAUAAAAUCACAAUUACUUUGUACAAAUAAUUGUACACAAAUUGAUAUAAUAUGAGAAUAUUAGUUGUAUAAAAUUAUCAUAAAUAAGUUUAUAUAAUUAAAAAAAAUAACUGUUAUUAUUUUUCAGCUGAUCUUUUUAUACUACAUUAUUUUGUAUACAUUAAGUUGCAUAAAAUAGGUUGAUAAAUUAAGGAUUAGAACUAUUAUGAUACUCAAAUAUAUAUUUCAAAAUUUAACACUAUUUUAGUAUGCAAAAGGAUAAAAGACACCCAAUUCAAGUGCCUCUCAUUCAAUCAUGUUAAUCAAAAGCAGCAAACGCAAACACACACUUCCCUCUCUAUUUAGAAACCCACCUCAAAGCCCUUCACCAAAUGCAAAACCCAGUAACCAAAACACAAAACCAAUCUCUGUUUUGGGUCCAAACAAGUUGGAGUACCGUGUAAGGCACCACUGUAAACCAGGUGCAAUCAGUCCCAAAAAAGCCCAAGAAUAUUUUCGUCAACUGAUCCAAACCAAACCCAUUCCUAAUAUUGAUACGUUCAAUUUCCAAGCCUAAGCGUUAUGAUGUGUUGUUUUCAAUGUACAAGGAAUUAUAGUGUUGUGAAAUUAGGCCUGAUUUGUACACGUUUAAUAUUUUGAUCAAUUGUUUUUUUCAAACGGGGAAAAUAAAUUGUGGGUUUUUUGUAUUUGGUGAGAUUAUAAAGGGGGAUUUUAAGCCUGAUUUAAUUACUAUGAGUACUCUGUUUAAUGGUUUGUGUUUAGAUGGUAAAUUGUUUGGUGCGGUUGAGUAGUUUGAUUUGACCGAACAACGUUUUAAAGGUAAUUUUCAUGUCUAUGGGAUUCGCAUUAAUGGGAUGUGCAAGAUUCGUGAGAUUGAUUCUGCUAUUAAGUUGCAUAGGAGGAUGACUUGUGAGGCUGAUAUGGUUACUUACAGUGCAAUAAUUGAUGGUCUUUGUACAGAUGGAUCUGUUGAUGACGCAAUAAAAAUGUUCGCAGAAAUGAUAGGAAAGGUAUUUGCCUCGAUGUUUUUGUUUAUAGUUCGUUGAUUAAUGGGUUGUGUACCUUUAAUAGAUUAAAGGAAGCUGUUGAGCUUUUUGAUAAAAUGGUUUCUCAAGGUAUUACUGCUGAAUUAGUCACUUAUAACUCACUGAUUCAUGGUUUUUGUUGAAUGGGAUUGUGGAAGGAGGCAACUAGGAUUUUUUUAUCAAAUGUUAGGUGAAGGAAUUUCACCUGAUGUUGUAACGUUCACAAUACUAAUAGAUUGUGUAUGCAAAGACAGAUAAUUGGGAGAAGCAAGGAAGAUUUUCAGUUUGAUGAUUAAGCACUGAAGGGAGCCUAGACUAUUAACUUAUAAUUCACUCAUCAAUGGAUUAUAUUUGGUUGGUCAAGUGGAUGAUGCUGAAAAGCUGUUUUGAGUCGAUGGUAGAUAAAGGGACUUGAGCUCGAUGUUUUUACCUACAAUGUAAUGGUUAAUGGCUAUUGCAAGAGUUUGAAGACUGAAAAAGCUAUUAGCAUCUUUCAAGAAAUGCUUCAUUAGCGAUUGAAGCCCAAUACAGUUAGUUACAACAUACUUAUAACAGACUUUUGUCAAGUUCGAAGAGUAGCAGAAGCACAAAAAAUCUGUUCAAUGAUCUGCCUGCAGCUGAUCUAUUUCCGGAUUUAUUCACAUAUUCAGCUAUGAGAGAUGACCUUUUCAAAAGUGGCCACGUCGAAUAGGCAAUGGCUCUGCUUCAGACCCUUGAGAGAGACAAGUUUGAGCUGAAUAUUGAGGUUUACAGUUUAGUCAUUGAUGGGUUAUGUAGAGUGGGCAGAUGGGAAGAAGCUAGAAAGAAGUUAGAUCAACUGUCAGGGAAAGGUUUGGUUCCUGGUGUUGUAACAUAUAGCAUUCUGAUCAAUGGCCCCUGCAAGAAAGGGAUGAUAAUGGAGGCUGAUAAGUUGCUUGUCCAAAUGGAAGAGAAGGGAUGAUUUCCAGCCUCUAUAUCAUUCAACACCGUUAUUUGGGGUUUUCUUGUGAAAAAUGAAACUGAUAGAGCAAUGCAGCUUCUUGAAAAAAAAAAUAUGUAAGAGGAACUUCUCACCAAGUGAACAAGUAACUUGAAUGCUGCUAGAACUCUAUUUUGUAGAUUCUCAAUGACGUGCAACCAUUGAGGCACUCCCAAAUGUUCUUCAGGGGAACUCUUUUACUGUAAAUUCUGUACAAUGAUAUGGGGCAAGUGACGGAGAGAGAUAGCAAUAAUCGGUAACUUUACUUUCAUCUGUGAGAAUUGAGAUAAUAAAAAAUAUGUCCUUUUUAUUCCCUAAAUGUAAUGGUGUUCAAAUUUGCACGUUCAAGAUGUAAUAGUUUUCAGAUUUGCACGUUCAAGCAUUUUGUCAUAUUCAUGUUGUUGCAAUUGGAUAUUUGUUUUAUUACACAUGAUACAGUUGUUUAAGAUUGUGUACAUUUGCAGUUUCCUUUUCCUACUUCAAUUCUAAGUGUGGGUGAAUGAUAAAUAAUCAUCACAUCAUAUAUUAUUGCUUUUAUCUUGGUGAAUUCUAAUGUGCCAAGAGUUUGCCCAUGCUGCCGUGUCCCCUUCACUUCUUCCUUAUCUGCUUUGUCACCCUUGUAUUGAGUUUUGUCGGCAAGGUUCUGAUUUCGGAAAUUUGUAUAAAAUUGUCUGCCUACAGUGCCUGUUCUUUUGCCCUUGCAGACAAGUUAAAUGACUCAAUCCUAAGCUUGCUCACGCAUCUUAUUAGUCUGACUGAUUCCACUAGUUGAAGUCAAUGCUUCACUGGAAGUAAGUAUUCCAAAUUUUUAAUUUUGAGUAUACAAACUCACUGAAUAAUUAAAGACGAAGACAAACGUUGAGCAAUUAUAUGCUGUAGAUCUGCUUUCUAAGCACCAAGCUGAAAGCUAAGGGACUUAAAGUCCUUUUGCUGCAUUUACUUAUUGGGAAUGAAGAAAAAUCUGUAUCCCUCUACAAAACUCAGCACAUUCAUUACAUGAUUUACAUUAUAAGUAAGAAAAAGGAGAGGUUAGCAUUCACUGCUCAAAUCUAAAUUUAAUUACUUAGAUGCUAUUUGCGAGAAAUCCUCUUUCUACCACGAGCCCUACUAGCUGGAACACCUAUUGAAGUGCUUGUAAUAUCCUUUGUGGGUUGUUCCUCACUCUUGUCAUCAUCACUGCCUCCAUCAAAACUCUCAGUUUUGUCUGUAGACUCUUCCUCUUCUUGUUGCAAAUCCCCCAUGACUGCCUGUUUUGAAAGCUUGUCUCGAAGCUCUCUGAGUUUUGAUUUCUUUGAAUUCAACACACCAAGGAACUAGAAGCAGGAAAAAACUUGAAGUCAGUCUUACAUACUAAGAGAGUAGAAAUUUGAUGAUCCCCAGAUCCUAUUCAUCCUUUGAUAACUUGCAUGCCCAGAGUUCAAAAGAUCAUGAAAUUACAACUAUGACUAAAUGGAUCUUCUGGAAACAUAAACUAUGGGAAAUCUCAACCAUACAUAUAAGAAUUCAGCAUUCAUACAUUUUCAUUGGGAAAACUGAAUUGGAAAGAGCAGCUUCAUCAGAAACAUCUGAUGACGUCCCUAGUUUUAAAGUUUUAUUCUUUUGGUCUUUGUCUUGGAUCUCCUGUUAGAGAGCAAUAUUACCAGUGUUAUUUAUUCACGCACCUUUGAGUAGAUUGCUGAUUCAAAUUCCACCUUCUCAUUUUUAAAUCUCUCACUUUGUGCUAAACAUUUCUGAGUCUCCACUUUCAGUCUCUCAAAUGAUUGAGUUUUUGUGACAACUUCAUCCUAUAAGCAAAAGUGAUAAAACAUGAAAGAGUUAUAAUAUGACAGAACUUCAUUGCCAAACUAAUUGAUAUAGGCAUUUCAUCUGCAUCUAUCAAUCCAAAGAAACAACAAGGAUAAUAGAACAAAAUGUUCAAUGUCAUUUACAGCCAAACAUUUAUACCAUGUGUAUAUAAUUUAGAGGUGAAAGGCUGCUUCACCUAAUCCAAUAUAGCUCAUUGGUACAGAAAAUUCUAUAAAGAAAAUGAACAAGCCUGGCAGGACCAUUCAUUUGAGUUAUAAAGAACGGAGUUGAAGCAGCCAGGCUAGGGCUUCUUCAAACUUGGCCAUUAGUACUGCAGCUGAUUUAAAAUUUUCCACAAUAAGACAUGUUGCUACAAUCACUUAGCUAAAAGUAUAAAAUAAGAUUCCUCAAGUAGCCAAAAUCCGAUUCAAGCUCACAUACUGUGUGUGUGAAAAUUGAAAAAUGUCUCAGCUUAAUCCAUAAUGAAUAAAAAUCAUUAUAGAUGAUUCUAACAACCACUAGGACAGCCAACAGACCAUGGAGCAGCAAUUCGUCACUGAUAAGAAACAAAAGUUGAAGUUAAUCAGCAUGUUUGAAUUACAUUCCUUGUAACCACUACUCGCUCUUCCAACCUAAAGUCUGGACCACCUACAGAGAAAGUGAACUUCUAAAGAUAUAAAUGUCUAUCAUGGAAAUUAUAUUUAGCAUUGUCCUCAUGAAACAAAAUACAAAGAACCAAGUCAAUGUACAACCAUUGAUAGUUUUGAAUCAAACAUCAAGAGAAAUAAAUCCCUUCCAUUGAAUAUAAACGAACCCAGUAUGGACAGAUCCCAAGUCUUUUCUUUCACUGCCCUUCAAACAUUACUUACAAUAUGCACCAAGUCAUUGAAAUCUAACGAACAUUACAUACACACUAAUAAAGUAAAAUUGUUUCAACUAACAAUCUUCAAAAUUUCAGCCAACAAAAAAGCAAAAGAAUCUUACACUGAGUCUAAUGUUUGCAUCCAUAAGAAAGUCCAAAAUUCCUGCAGUAACCUUCUUGCUAUUAGGUGCCGGUCCGAAUUUCCACCGCCAUUCAAGCUUAGUCCCCUCCUUCUCAAAUGUCCAUGACAACUGCAAUACAUCACAAUCACAGACAUACCCACAUAAUUUUAAACUUCACCUUUUUCCAAUUUCAAUUUCGAUAAACUAACGUAAAUUUUAAAAUAUAAUAACAAAAACUUACUCUUUUACAUCCAUCAGCAGCAUCAGUAAAACCGUAAACAGAACCAGGCUGCUGAAACCCUAAAUAGCGCUCGGCCAAUUUGAUGUACUCGGUCACCGGCUGGUCCCACUGCGCCGCCCUAUCUUUCACCUGCUCCUCAGACGCUGUCGAAAAGACGAAAACGCUGUUGCUUUGAGACACACCCAAAAAGAAAAAUGACAAAUUUAAAUUUAAAUUUGUUACAGGUUUUAACUUAUAAUACCGUUGCAGAGCCAAGCGUUGAGACCGUCGGUGAUGGAGAGAUCGAAGUGAGUUUGAAACCACGUGCCUUUGGCGAAAAUGGGAUCCGUGGCGUCGGGAAUCUCCAGCUUUAGACAUGUAUGUCUCGUCUCCAUUUUUUCUGACCUCCUUCCUCGAGAAGCCCCAAGUGCGAGUGCAGAAAUCUUCCCGCCUUUUCGAGUUGCGUGUUUUGGAAUUUGGACUUUUCGCACAUAUUUAUAUAGAUCCUAUACAUAAAAAGUAGGAUAUGACCAUGUCUAUGAAAAUUGAAAAUGAAUAAUUAUUUUUUUAAAGAUAAAAGUAUAAAUUAUUAACAUUUUAUUAAUUAAACACAUAGGCGUAUUACACAAUAUUUGAAAUCAAGACCUAAAUUUUGUUAAGGCUGUCCCCUAAUUAAUGGGAUUAAGUAAUGGUUUUUCAUCGAAUCUAUUGGAUAAUUUCACACAUUAAAAAACAAUGAAUUUUUUUAAAAAAAUGUUAAAGUGAAAUAUGUUAAUGCUUGUGUCCAUUCUUUGGCCAAAUUAGCCUUAAGAGGAAAUACCUCUAUUACCUGAUUAGAAACAAUACUAGCAGAGGUUUCAAGUGUAAUGGGGUUGUGAUUAAUGGAAAUAUUUACUAUCUUAUAAAGAAAAAAAUUACACCAUCUAUUCUAUAAAGAUGGAAUUAUUUUUAACACAACAACCAUUAUAAUAUUUUUUUAAAAAUAAAAUGAAUAUAAUGAGAAGUGACUUACUUUGUUGGAGGGUAUUAUAUUUAUAAAAAAAAUGGACAAAGACUCUAAUAUUUAUAAAAAAAAAGGACAAAGACUCUAAUAUUUAAAAAAAUAUAUAAAUUUUUUACUAAAUUAUUAAUCUUUUUCAAUGUUACGUUGAAUUUUAAUGUGAUUUUCUUUUUACAGUAGAAAGAAAAUAAAAAUGGAAAUCAAAGUUAUAUCUUUUGAAGCUCGAAUGGAAUAGCCUAGUUGGUUAUAAAUCAAUCACGAUAUUUCUUUUUUUAAUUCAUGUUUGUGCUGGGACGAAUUUUUUUUGGAUAGAUUUAUUAUUCAAUUCAUUAAAUAAUUAACGAAACUUGAAAUGUGAUAUCACACAAAAGUGGCCCCAACAAAAAAAAAAAAACAGAACACGUGUCAGAGUCCCAGUUUGAAAGCCACGUGUAUCACCAAACGCACUAGCAUAAUAACACUAACAUAGUUAGCAGCAGUAAGCUAAUCAUAGCAUUAUCAUCCACAAGAAGAAGCCCAGCCAAAAAAAAAUGUCUUUGAGGUUCUGCAACUCUCACUCACUGUAUCAUCUUCUUCUGGUUCUCGUAAUCUUCUGUUCCAUUUCUGCAAUCUACGCUAAAGCAAAUGAAGACCCAACAAUCAGAACUAUGGAGGCUUUCUCAGGGUACCCAAUUCAUGAAUCAAACUCAUUUGUUACAAACUUGGCUUCUUCACUCUCAGUUGAUGCUGAAACUCUCCAAAAACGGGUACUGAGAAAAUCUAUAGCAUUAUGGACGAGUAAAAUAAUGUGGGUUUUUUAUUUUCUUAUUACAAUAUAUAUAUUUUUAAUGCGUGUGGUUUUGGCUUCUUUUUUUUUUUUUUUUUUGGGCUAGAUCGAUGAACUGUCAACUUUCUCGGACACUCCUGCCCCAUCAGUUACUAGGGUCUUGUACACUGAGAAUGAUGUAUUGGCACGCAGGUAACUAUUUAAGAAGUUACAGUUCUUGUGCAUGUUCUAAUUGUCUGCAAAUCUUAAUAGAAAGUUACAGUUUUUAUAUUGUUUUUUCAUUAAUUAUUCGUAUAUCGAAUCCUUUAUAAUAUUUCAUCUGAUGGGGUUGUUUCUUGUAGUCCUUAAAGGUAAUCAUUUAUUUUACAACAUGAAUAGGCCUAUUUUACCGAGUUAUCAGUGUUUUCGAAUGAAUUAUUCAGGUUAGGCCUUGGAGAAUUCUGUAUGUGAUGCUUUAUCUGAUUGUUUGUCAAGAGAUAUUUAUUCCCUUUGCAUGCUUUAUCAGUGGCCCCCUCAUGUCUAGAAGGAUAUAUACAGGACAUUACUCUUGCUUCUAAUCCAGCAGCAGUUGUCUAAUAUUUCCGGCCAUUCUAAGUAGUUAUUAACUUACAAUGCUAUUUAAGCUCAUGUGUUGAGAACAUACUAUUAAAGCCUUACAGUAUAUAUUCAAUCAUAUUUGAAAAUUUUAUUAUGUGUAGAGGAUUAUCUAGUUAACUCUUUAUAUGCCAUUGCUUUCUGAAUUUUUUUUUUUCCCCAAUUGCUCACCUAAAUUAAGGAUUUAUGCUGUCUGUUUGCAAUAUUUUAAUGCAGCUACAUCAAGAACUUGAUGGGGCUUUCAGGUCUCUCUGUUAGGGAGGAUGCAGUUGGUAACAUAUUUGGUAGAUGGUGAGAUUUCAUCUUCCUUCAGAGGAGUUUGGUUAUCAUGAAUUUUUUGCCAUACUCAUGCUCUCUAAAUGAACCCAAUUGAACUCAAGAUUGCCCUAACCUGUGUUAGUUCGCAUGGAUGGAAGUUCUUGGUUUCAUUUAUUCUCACUUAGAGUUUCAGUUCCUGUAACUGUGUUCAGAUUGACAUGUCAUCAAAAUGGAAAAAGAAAAUCAUAUUAUGAGUAUAGAGUGUGGUGUACUGCAUUUUUUGAGAAAAUGCCAUAAUUCUCACAGCAACUUGAAGUGCACUCUCCAUAUGGUAUUGUGUUUUUCACAAAGGGUAAUCUAGUUGACAAUUGGUGUUCUCUUUUCCUGUCAUUUUCCAAAUUUUUGGCCUUUUUGUUAGAGUAGUGAAGUUUCUUUCAAGGAUGUCUGCAUUCAUUGAAGGGAUUUUUUUUUUUUUUGGCAGUAAUAGUUUGGAGUAUCAAAGCUCACAAUACCACCUUUUUUCUUCAUUUCUCUGAGACAAAUGUUUCGCAAUUUCUGUUGUGUAUCCUCAAAUGUCUUUGACCAUGCCCCCACCCCUGUUUCCCUUAUGCAAGAUUGGCAAUGAAGCAGUGCUUGCUCCAGUUGCAACAGGUUCUCACAUUGAUGCCAUUCCGUACUCUGGGAAGUAUGAUGGUGUUGUUGGUGUGCUAGGUGCAAUAGAAGCCAUUAAUGUGCUAAAAAGGUAUUGGUUGAUUUUAUUGGUAGCGUCUGAUGAAUCUGAAAUAUGUGGUUAUAAAUUGCCACUUAUGUUUGCUUUCUGGGUUGAUUAGCAUUCUAGAUUAGCACUGAAAAUUUCUUUUUUUGCAAAUUGAUGGCAAUAAGUUCAAUCAACAUACAUAACUUUAUUCAUGAAUGGAUAAACUUUUAGAUGUUGAGUGCCUUUAGUUAGAUCACCUGUACCGUAGUUAGAUAAUGUCAAAAUUGAAUCAGGACAUAUUCAGAUAUUCCUUGCUCAAGCUAUCAAAGAAGAGAUUUGAAACACUUAUCUCAAACUAUAUCCAAAGACACCCUCUUAAAGCCGUGUCUUGGAGAUACAGUUAUAAUAAACAUUGUUAUGUUCUCUCAGUUUUCCAGUCUAGGGUAUUGUUUAUGCUUUUGGUUUCCAGCUAAUAAGAUUGUUUUGAACUGAAUAGCAUGGAUGCAAUUUCUUUCUCAUCAUGUCAUAGUUUUUUUCAGAUAAAGGUAUUGUGUAGUAGCCACAGUUGUUGGUCUAUGCUAUGUUGACUGGGUCUUUAACAGAUCUGGAUUCAAGCCUAGAAGGUCACUGGAGGUUAUCAUGUUCACCUCAGAGGAGCCCACACGCUAUGGGAUCAGUUGUUUGGGAAGGUUAGCCACUUGUAAAUGGUUAAAACUUCAUAACUCAAUACAUGCACUUGGGUUUAUUUGGUUGCUUUCCUUUCUUAAUUUUUGUCCAUACAAAAAGAAGAAAAGAUACUUUUCCUCUGGAGUUUCCUUUUACUUACCUUUGCAAACUUUAUAGCAACCACUUCCACUGUACAUCAAACUUCAACAGGUUAUGUCUUGGCAUGGUGGAUGGUAUAUGGGUUUGGAAAUCUUAUACUAUAGUAUGAGUUCGUGCAUUUAUUUUUUUUGUGCAGUCGCUUAUUGGCAGGAAUUGAGUCACUUGCAAAAGAUCUGACAUCAACAGUUGAUGGUCAAAAUAUAUCCUUUUUAGAUGGUGCAAGAUCUGCUGGAUACGCAAAAGAGCACAAUGACCUAUCCAGUGUGUUUUUGAAGAAAGGAAGUUACUCUGCUUUUGUUGAAUUGCAUAUAGAGCAGGGACCCAUUCUGGAAGAGGAA
Molecule: long non-coding RNA, 28130 nt
Filed under: Citrus x clementina
Lineage: Eukaryota; Viridiplantae; Streptophyta; Magnoliopsida; Sapindales; Rutaceae
Description: Citrus clementina (C. clementina) long non-coding RNA (CCLE_LNC000142)
Source: RNAcentral